This 45-nucleotide non-coding RNA is filed under the name Schistosoma margrebowiei. Lineage: Eukaryota; Metazoa; Platyhelminthes; Trematoda; Strigeidida; Schistosomatidae. The record is from RNAcentral.
AUCCAGCUGACGAGUCUCACAUAAGCUAAAACGCGCGUCCCGGAU